AACUCACUUUAGUAGAAAGAGCUGACAUGAUGAACACUUUCCUUAGCAUAGCUGUAUGUCUAUUGUGGCUAACAGUGGUAAAUCAUGCAAAAAUGGUUCUCCAGAGUCCUGAUGACCUCAUGAAAAACCAGAAUGAAUUGGCUGUUUUCACAUGUUCUCACAAUAUACAAGACUACAACCGAAUGCUGUGGUACAAACAGAGUCACAUGUCUGGCCUCACGCUGAUGGGAUACCUCAAUUUUGAGAACGAGAAUAUAGAGCCUGAAUUUGAAAACAAGAUCAAACUGGAGGGAAAUGCAAAGAAAAGUGGCAAUUUGACUAUCAAGAAUCUCAGACUGGGUGACAGUGCAGUGUAUUUCUGUGCAGCAUAUUACACAGUGAUACAGACAAUCAAAUCUUAAUACAA
Megalobrama amblycephala (Wuchang bream) is the source of this 406-nucleotide non-coding RNA. The record is from the annotation of a RefSeq genome assembly. Lineage: Eukaryota; Metazoa; Chordata; Actinopteri; Cypriniformes; Xenocyprididae.